RNAcentral lists this long non-coding RNA (205 nucleotides) under Zostera marina. Its description in RNAcentral is "long non-coding RNA (ZMAR_LNC002746)". Lineage: Eukaryota; Viridiplantae; Streptophyta; Magnoliopsida; Alismatales; Zosteraceae. The record is from RNAcentral.
UUCCAUCCUGCCGUCGUAAGCGAUAAGUUCCUGGCCUUAUCUCUUCGUCGACGAUGUAUGGACCCUCGAAGUUGGAUGACAACUUAUUCCUUGGUCUAUUCCUUUCGGUGAUACUAGCCUUCCGCGUGACGAGGGUUCCCGGCAGAAAUACUUUUUUGCGUACUUGGCGAUUGUGGUAUCGUGAUACGCUGGCCUUGUACGAUUC